Long non-coding RNA from Hevea brasiliensis (rubber tree), 931 nucleotides. RefSeq lists it as uncharacterized. Lineage: Eukaryota; Viridiplantae; Streptophyta; Magnoliopsida; Malpighiales; Euphorbiaceae. The transcript is spliced from 4 exons. The record is from RefSeq and is a predicted model, not a curated record.
AAAAACGGGAGGAGGAAGCCCCCCCCCCAUUUUCUCUUCUCUUCCUUUCCUUCCCUCUCUUCUUCUUCUUCCUUUCUCCGGUGACCGGCCGGCGACGUCCCAAGCAGCUCCCCACCGGCCGGCGACCCUCCGGCAACCACCAGGACCACCAGAAACGGCGGCAAGAGAGGGAGAGGAGAGAGAAAACGCGCGCACAGUGGGCAGCGGCUUUCCGGCGCGAUUCCGGCUUCGUCCGACGUCCGAUCGAGGCGAUUCCGGUGGCGUUGGAAAGCUUGUUCCGAGAGCUUUCUUUUGACACCAAUUUUGAAGCAAAUGGAGGUCGGAUGAGUGAGAUAUGGAGGAGAGAAGUUUCGGGUUUUUCAAGCUUUUUCGUCAGAUCUACGACGAUCCGACCGUUGGAUCGACGAUCCGAGACCACAUAUGUACUGAGGAAGAGGAGAGGAACAUGGUGGUAUGAUCAGAUUCGGCAAAUGUCGCCGGCGGCCGGCCACCGUGCGCGGUGGUGCCGGCGGUGGCCCGGUGAGCUAUGGAGAUGGUUCAACUUCCAGAGGCUUCCUCAUAAAUUUUUGGAAUUUUUGAGACACAGAUAAACUUCGGGUGAUCGAGAUCAACUAUUUUCCUGCAUCCAGCAGCCACAAUAGUCGACGGUGUACUGUGAUCGAGAUCAACUAUUUUCCUGCAUCCAGCAGCCACAAUAGUCGACGGUGUACUGCCACAGGAGGAUAUUUUGUUCUGGGUUAACCUGCCUUUUUACCUCGCAGGUUGUUUAUCAAUAUUGUGUAAUUUCAAUUACUCCUAGAAUUUCCGCAUGUGUUAGCAGUAAUUAUUUGAAAUUGGUCUGUAAUAUUAUAUUCAUGUUGGACCUGUAAACUUAAUAUUUUAAGUCUGUUUGAUGGAUUGGAUGAGGGAGCUGAGCUCCCAUUUAUUAUUA